AACGAACGCUGGCGGCAGGCCUAACACAUGCAAGUCGAGCGAAGCCUUCGGGUUUAGCGGCGGACGGGUGAGUAACGCGUGGGGAUAUGCCCUUUGGUACGGAACAGUCCCGGGAAACUGGGUUUAAUACCGUAUGUGGUCCUUCGUAGUGGAUACGGGGGACGAAAGAUUUAUCGCCAAAGGAUUAGCCCGCGUUGGAUUAGGUAGUUGGUGGGUAACGGCCUACCAAGCCGACGAUCCAUAGCUGGUUUGAGAGGAUGAUCAGCCACACUGGGACUGAGACACGGCCCAGACUCCUACGGGAGGCAGCAGUGGGGAAUCUUAGACAAUGGGGGCAACCCUGAUCUAGCCAUGCCGCGUGAGUGAUGAAGGCCUUAGGGUUGUAAAGCUCUUUCAGCUGGGAAGAUAAUGACGGUACCAGCAGAAGAAGCCCCGGCUAACUCCGUG
RNAcentral lists this ribosomal RNA (447 nucleotides) under uncultured bacterium. RNAcentral describes it as "bacterial SSU rRNA". It matches the Rfam family "Bacterial small subunit ribosomal RNA", at positions 29 to 507 of the family's 1533-position model. The record is from RNAcentral.